CCUACGGGCGGCAGCAGUAGGGAAUAUUGCUCAAUGGGGGAAACCCUGAAGCAGCAACGCCGCGUGGAGGAUGAAGGUUUUCGGAUCGUAAACCUCUUUUGUUAGAGAAGAUCAUGACGGUAUGUAACUAAUAAGCACUGGCCAAUACCGGGUCAGCAGCCGCGGUAAUACGGAGGGUGCAAGCGUUACACGGAAUCAAUGGGCGAAAAGGGCGCGUAGGCGGGUUAGCAAGUCAGAUGUGAAAUCCUAUGGCUGAACCGUAGAGCGGCAUUUGAAACUGUUAUUCUAGAGUAUGGUAGAGGUAGGUGGAAUUCUAGGUGUAGGGGUAAAAUGCGUAGAGAUCAAGAGGAAUACUCGUGGCGAAGGCGACCUGCUGGAACGUAACUGACGCUGAUGCGCGAAAGCGUGGGGAGCAAACAGGAUUAGAUACCCUUGUAGUC
This 440-nucleotide ribosomal RNA is filed under the name uncultured bacterium. RNAcentral describes it as "partial 16S ribosomal RNA". It matches the Rfam family "Bacterial small subunit ribosomal RNA", at positions 338 to 795 of the family's 1533-position model. The record is from RNAcentral.